Molecule: long non-coding RNA, 515 nt
Filed under: Erythranthe guttata (spotted monkey flower)
Lineage: Eukaryota; Viridiplantae; Streptophyta; Magnoliopsida; Lamiales; Phrymaceae
Description: long non-coding RNA (EGUT_LNC002143)
Source: RNAcentral
CACGGUGGAGUUGGUGAGCAACCCGACGGUGGUCCCGACAUUUAAACAGGUGUUUUCUAUCCUUAAACUCCGGGCGAAUCACAUUGAGGGCAAUGUGAAUUUUAAGUUUGGGGGUGUUAACUACUUGUUUUCGUUUAUGUGCGCUUUAUUUGUUUUCGUUUGCAUGCUUUAGUUUGCAUGCUUUAGUUUUGUUUUCGUUGCAUCGAUGAAUUAUGAUGAUGAGAGAUGGUCAAUGUUUGAUGAUGAGACUACUUGUUUUAUGCUUUUAAGGAGUAGAUAUUUGUUUAGCUUUCGAUUCAACGGAACGUAGAAGUGAAUUAUUGCUAGGAAUCACACCUUGUGCAUUGCUUUGGUUGAAUGUUUUGCAUUUUAAAUUUGGAAUGUAUUUGUGCUCAAUCAUGCUUUGUUCGGUUUUAAAUCUCACCUUAGGACAUUUAUGAUACGAAGUGUUGAUAAUAAGUGAUUUGGGAUAUGAUUUGGGCCUUUUUUGAACCGUUUGAGCCUUUCAAGCCUAC